UACGGGGGGGGUAAGCGUUGUUCGGAAUUACUGGGCGUAAAGGGCUCGUAGGCGGCCAACUAAGUCAUACGUGAAAUCCCUCAGCUUAACUGGGGAACUGCGUGUGAUACUGGAUGGCUUGGAUUUGGGAGAGGGAUGCGGAAUUCCAGGUGUAGAGGUGAAAUUCGUAGAUAUUCGGAAGAACACCAGUGGCGAAGGCGGCUCACUGGCCCGUUACCGACGCUCAGGCGCGACAGCGUGGGGAGCAAACAGG
Molecule: ribosomal RNA, 253 nt
Filed under: uncultured bacterium
Lineage: Bacteria
Description: partial 16S ribosomal RNA
Rfam family: Bacterial small subunit ribosomal RNA
Source: RNAcentral